GCCCCGUGAGUGCUGGCAGGGCUGUGAAGCAGGUGUGACUAAUGGGUCAGCUCCCCGCUGGGACUGUGACCCUGAAGCUAACAAACCUAAGGGCAAGGCCAGGCGCAGCAGCUUUCUGAGUCUCUUCUGAAGUGGCUUGAAGUCGAUACUGUGUGUGUAUCUCAGCCAGACAGUCAAAAGGAGAGCAACUUAGCAGAAGAUUUUGGUCUAGCUGAGGAUUCAGAUCACUGAAGAACUUAAGUUUAGGCUGUUAAACAAAAUUAUGGGAGCCCGUUAUUUUGGACUGAACUCCUGUACUAGGCCCCAACAGACGAGACCAAACCAAAAUGGAGUCAUUCAUGCUAAAUGCCUCAUCAUCAAAUAGAAGCUUUAAGGAAGCAGAUAGAUCCAACAUAGACUAGUUUUUCUUGAGAACAGAAGAUUCCAGUCUACCUGUGUCAGUGCAAUAAGGAAGUCCUCUCUGCUUUAAUUUUUACACAAAAAGUAACCUCAUGUUAGCCAAUCCGACUUAAAAAAUUUUU
This 521-nucleotide long non-coding RNA is filed under the name Pan troglodytes (chimpanzee). RNAcentral describes it as "long non-coding RNA NONPTRT017524". The record is from RNAcentral. Lineage: Eukaryota; Metazoa; Chordata; Mammalia; Primates; Hominidae.